GACGGAGGGUGCUAGCGUUGUUCGGAAUUACUGGGCGUAAAGGGCGCGUAGGCGGCUCUUUCAGUCGGAUGUGAAAGCCCGGGGCUCAACCCCGGAACGGCAUCCGAGACGGGAGGGCUCGAGACCGGGAGAGGAGGGUGGAAUAGCCAGUGUAGAGGUGAAAUUCGUAGAUAUUGGCUGGAACACCGGUGGCGAAGGCGGCCUUCUGGACAGCAACUGACGCUGAGACGCGAAAGCGUGGGGAGCAAACAGG
Molecule: ribosomal RNA, 253 nt
Filed under: uncultured bacterium
Lineage: Bacteria
Description: partial 16S ribosomal RNA
Rfam family: Bacterial small subunit ribosomal RNA
Source: RNAcentral